Molecule: ribosomal RNA, 375 nt
Filed under: uncultured bacterium
Lineage: Bacteria
Description: bacterial SSU rRNA
Rfam family: Bacterial small subunit ribosomal RNA
Source: RNAcentral
UAAUACGGAGGUGGCAAGCGUUACUCGGAAUUAUUGGGUGUAAAGGGCAAGUAGGUGGCUUGGUAAGUGAGAGGUGAAAUACUCCGGCUCAAUCGGAGAACUGCCUUUCAAACUGCCUUGCUUGAGGAUGACAGGGGGAAAUGGAAUUCCCGGUGUAAGGGUGAAAUCUGUAGAUAUCGGGAAGAACACCAGCGGCGAAGGCGAUUUCCUGGGUCAUUCCUGACACUGAAUUGCGAAAGCUAGGGGAGCAAACAGAAUUAGAUACUCUGGUAGUCCUAGCCGUAAACGAUGAGCACUAGGUGUUGGCUCCGUUAGGAGUCAGUGCCGCAGCUAACGCAUUAAGUGCUCCACCUGAGGACUACGGUCGCAAGGCUA